AGCGGGGGAUACGCCCAGAGAAAUUUGGAUUAAUACCGCAUACGCCCUACGGGGGAAAGGAGGGGACUCUUCGGAGCCUUCCACUAUCGGAUGAGCCUGCGUGAGAUUAGCUAGUUGGCGGGGUAAAGGCCCACCAAGGCGACGAUCUCUAGCUGGUCUGAGAGGAUGAUCAGCCACACCGGAACUGAGACACGGUCCGGACUCCUACGGGAGGCAGCAGUGGGGAAUAUUGCACAAUGGGCGAAAGCCUGAUGCAGCCAUGCCGCGUGUGUGAAGAAGGCCUUAGGGUUGUAAAGCACUUUCAGCGAGGAGGAAAGCUUGUGAGUUAAUACCUCUCAAGUGUGACGUUACUCGCAGAAGAAGCACCGGCUAACUCCGUGCCAGCAGCCGCGGUAAUACGGAGGGUGCAAGCGUUAAUCGGAAUUACUGGGCGUAAAGCGCGCGU
Molecule: ribosomal RNA, 445 nt
Filed under: marine sediment bacterium BB0608_2216_1.2_3S0
Lineage: Bacteria
Description: bacterial SSU rRNA
Rfam family: Bacterial small subunit ribosomal RNA
Source: RNAcentral